AUGCUUGCUUCAGCAGCACAUAUACUAAAAUUGGAAAGAUACAGAGAUUAGCAUGGCCCCUGUGCAAGGGUGACAUGCAAAUUCAUGAAGAAUUCCAUGUUUUU
This 104-nucleotide small nuclear RNA is filed under the name Otolemur garnettii (small-eared galago). The record is from RNAcentral. Lineage: Eukaryota; Metazoa; Chordata; Mammalia; Primates; Galagidae.